GCCAGCGUGGUGCAGUGGUUUGAAUAUUGGACUAUGACUCUGGAGACCAGCGUUCAAGUCCCAGCUCAGCCA
This 72-nucleotide transfer RNA is filed under the name Phrynosoma platyrhinos (Desert horned lizard). Its description in RNAcentral is "tRNA-OTHER". Lineage: Eukaryota; Metazoa; Chordata; Lepidosauria; Squamata; Phrynosomatidae. The record is from RNAcentral.